UUGGACCGACUCGCUGAGCUUCGCGGGGAUGGCUGACACUGCGAGCCUGCGGGCGCCGCUAUGCACCGAGCAAUUCGGCUCCGGAGCCCCACGCAGCUGCAGCGCUGCUGCCGAUGGGAGCCUGCAGUGGGACAGGGCUCAGCGCUGGGGCUGGUUCUCCCGGGCCUCGAUAACGAAACCCGGGCAGCAUGAGGGUGGAGGCAGGGGGCCCUGGGCAGCACUGACCACUCUUUCGGGCCUCAGAUCAGUGCUGCUGCCUCAGGGCUUCCCAGACAGCGUCAGUCCGGAUUACCUGCAGUACCAACUGUGGGAUUCCGUGCAGGUCCGGCCGGCCUAUUGCCAUGGGGGUUGGAGGGCGUAUGACUGGGGACCAAGGGAAUAGGCCCCUGUAAUCUGCAUUUGCACACUGAAAGGCAGGGUGCACUGCAGAGUUCUGACAGUCUUCCGGGUCCCACAGAACCAGUGAGAGCUGAUAUAGCUCAGUAGGCUCCUUGCUCUUGGGACCCAUCCUCACUCCACUUCUUUUCUCUCUAGGCCUUUGCUUCCAGCCUCUCCGGCUCCCUAGCGACCCAGGCAGUAUUGCAGGGCUUAGGGGUGGGCAACGCAAAAGCCUCAGUUUCAGCUGCCACGUCCACUUGGCUGGUGAAAGAUUCAACCGGCAUGUUGGGCCGCAUCAUCUUUGCCU
RNAcentral lists this long non-coding RNA (685 nucleotides) under Rattus norvegicus (Norway rat). RNAcentral's name for it is "long non-coding RNA NONRATT003241". Lineage: Eukaryota; Metazoa; Chordata; Mammalia; Rodentia; Muridae. The record is from RNAcentral.